AAAGGGAGACCUAAUUCAGGUAGGAGACGAAAAAAAGUAGUCCCUACCAAGAAUCAAUCCCAAAAGGUCGGAGCGAGGCAAAAUUGGCUUUCAAACUAGGUUCUGGGUUCACAUAAGACCUGAAUCAGGAACAAGGGCUAUUAGCUCAGGUGGUUAGAGCGCACCCCUGAUAAGGGUGAGGUCCCUGGUUCGAGUCCAGGAUGGCCCACCUGCACAGGUGGCAAAAACAAAGAAAAGAAGCUCCGAAUCAGCACCUUAUCUUACUUAUAUAGUAAGAGAGAAUGCUGGCUCUGAGUUCAGAGUCCAGAGGAACCUUGAAAACUGCAUAGAGCUAGGUGAAAAAGCCAAAAAAGAAGACCGCAAG
Molecule: transfer RNA, 364 nt
Filed under: uncultured Microcystis sp.
Lineage: Bacteria; Bacillati; Cyanobacteriota; Cyanophyceae; Chroococcales; Microcystaceae
Description: partial 16S-23S ribosomal RNA intergenic spacer
Rfam family: tRNA (bases 135-208)
Source: RNAcentral